RNAcentral lists this ribosomal RNA (470 nucleotides) under uncultured bacterium. RNAcentral describes it as "bacterial SSU rRNA". It matches the Rfam family "Bacterial small subunit ribosomal RNA", at positions 329 to 793 of the family's 1533-position model. The record is from RNAcentral.
CUACGCACUCCUACGGAGGCAGCAGUGGGGAAUAUUGCACAAUGGGCGCAAGCCUGAUGCAGCCAUGCCGCGUGUAUGAAGAAGGCCUUCGGGUUGUAAAGUACUUUCAGCAGUGAGGAAGGUGGGUAUGUUAAUAGCAUACUCAUUUGACGUUAGCUGCAGAAGAAGCACCGGCUAACUCCGUGCCAGCAGCCGCGGUAAUACGGAGGGUGCGAGCGUUAAUCGGAAUUACUGGGCGUAAAGCGCAUGCAGGUGGUUUGUUAAGUCAGAUGUGAAAGCCCGGGGCUCAACCUCGGAAUUGCAUUUGAAACUGGCAAACUAGAGUACUGUAGAGGGGGUAGAAUUUCAGGUGUAGCGGUGAAAUGCGUAGAGAUCUGAAGGAAUACCGGUGGCGAAGGCGGCCCCCUGGACAGAUACUGACACUCAGAUGCGAAAGCGUGGGGAGCAAACAGGAUUAGAUACCCUGGUAG